RNAcentral lists this long non-coding RNA (463 nucleotides) under Hordeum vulgare. RNAcentral's name for it is "long non-coding RNA (HVUL_LNC005407)". Lineage: Eukaryota; Viridiplantae; Streptophyta; Magnoliopsida; Poales; Poaceae. The record is from RNAcentral.
CGCCGCCACCACCACCUACGGUGCCCGAUCCCGCCCGAUUCCAGCGUCCUCCGGCGGCGCCCAGCACACCACCGUGUCCCCCUCUCAACGCUCCUUCCUCCCAUCGGGCAAGGUCCGACGCGCGCGUCCUCCAGCGACCAAGCAUGACCCUGCCCACCAGCUAGGGUUUGUGCUAGCACGUCGCCGGCGUGGCUCCGGCCUUGCUCCGGUGACUCAGUUGAGUCCCUCCACUCCUCCUCGUCACAUACCCCCAUAUCUUCCUCACAUCAUUUCGUCUCCCUUGCAGAUCAAGCGCACCGUUGCCACUCGAGCAACGGGGCGCCAUGGAUGGGAAGGCUUCUUCCUCCCUUGUCCCACACGACGGAGAGGAUGAGGCCACCGGAAGUGCAGCGGUGGCCGACGGGCUCAGGAGCGACCAGCAGUGGAGGAGCAGCGGCGGCCGAUGACAGCGGACCAGAUCGGC